Non-coding RNA from Malus domestica (apple), 2955 nucleotides. The record is from RefSeq and is a predicted model, not a curated record. Lineage: Eukaryota; Viridiplantae; Streptophyta; Magnoliopsida; Rosales; Rosaceae.
AAUUCCUCUCUCAUCUCUCUCUCUCUCUCUCUCUCUCUCUCAAUCCUUCCGCCUCUCUCCUCUCUAUCCCUUUCCCAAUCCAACCAAACCUCUCACUUUAUUUUUUUUCCCAAUUUUUCCUAUUUCCUUAUCUCUCUCACUCUCUGGAUUCUUCUUUGGCUCCUUCGAGGAGGUCUCGCCGCAUCUCACUUCCUGGUCACAAAUGUCGACUUUCCAUGGACCUUCUUUCUACGUCUCGACAUUGGUUCCAUCAUCAACUUCACCUCCGUUUGCUCGUACUCGAUCCGAGAUCUACUCACUUAAUUGGCCGCCUACUCGUGUGUUCUUGCUUGACUAGCCGAUGGCACACCAUGCAUACUUGACCUGAGAUUUAGUCGUGGUCGCUCUGAGAGCGAUGGGUUAGUUUUUUCCUUUUUGUUGACGGGUAAUUUUUUCGUUUAAUUUUUUUUUUUGAAUUUUCGAUUUAAUUAUUUGCCUUAUUUAAUUUCUAGGCUCUUGUAUGAAAGGGGCGAAAAACUAGUACUCUUGGAAAGGAUUUGGCGAAAUUCCUAUUACCUUACUCCAAACCCGUGAAUUUCAGCUGAUUUAUCCCCUUUCCAGCUUGAUAUUUUAGCGGAUUAGGAUUUAGGUUGCUCUCGGUUCUAUGGACUUCAUUGAUGAUUUAGCAUCUCGGAGUUUGGGUUCUUACCAAUUUCAGUUUCGAAGAUAUUAUUAUAGAUAUCAGGGUUUGUAUUUGACUAUAAUCUGGCUGAACUCACAAGCUCAUAUUUGUAGUGAUGGAGGAUAUAGGGUUGUCUAGACAAGCUUGGAUAUGUCUGCAGUCACAGAAACACAUUUAUUCACGAUUGCGAACUGCAAUCGGUGGGUGUGGAGAUAAAAUCGGGAUGUUUGUAGAGCGGCAUUGGCCGAUGUUGUGCAGAUUUCUUUUAUUAUUUCAGAUUUCUUAUUAUAAUCUGAAUAUGUAGUUUAACAUUUUUGAGGUCGUUGAUUUUUUGGGUUCAAUACAUCUUAAUUCUAAGAACAGGAGAUUUGACUCUGUAAGUGCAAGUCUUGAAUUGCUCCGCUCUCCGAGUGUAAGUACAUCUCUGCAUAUCUUUAUUUCCUCAAUUAUAUUUGACUUUGUUACGUUGAGUUGCCAAAUUAAAGAUAUUGCACUACCUUUUCGAUACUACAUUAAAUCUAGAACAUGCGAAACAUAAAAUUUUGAGUGUUAAUUAGUGGACGGGCUGCAUUUUAAAUUUGUAAACACCCAUACUAAUGGUUUGCAGCUUGAUAGUUGUACCAAAUCUCUUUUUCUUAUUCGCAUGUGCAUGUCCAUGUGUAGACCUUUUUGUAGCUUUCUAAGUUUGGGUUUUUCGUGAUGUGUGCUUACGUGGUUUGGGAUUACUUUCCUUUGCAAGCCUGAGUAUUUAAUAAAGCUUUGCGCUUUCAGAUUAAGGUAAAGUUUGAUUAUAUCUUAUAGUUAAUUCUGAUGCCCAACGCAAGGUGUAUAAUUUUUUUCCAUUACACUUAUAUGUUCUAUCAAUUAAACUCCAGACCAACUACAAAUCUCCUAAGUUCUUUAAAUUCGGGUUUGUUAUAUGUUGUAGGAAAUGGCAUAUUUUGAGAUAUUCUGCAUCUUCUUUCUUUAGUUCUUUACAUUUGAAAGAGUGAGAAUUAUAUUGUUGGGACUUUGGAUUCUAUUUUUAUGUCCUAAUUUGUGUGAGGAUUGCUUGCCAUCCAUAUAAGAAUGUUACUAAAGUGUCAGGCAAAAGUCUUUAUGUUUCAAUCACAAACAAGUGCAUGUAUACAUAGCAGAAUUACACCAAUUAAUCUGUGGGAGGAAGGAUAUACAACAGCUCAUGAGAUAAAGGUAAAGAAUCAUAAUUUGAAAAUUUGGAAGCCACUACAUACUCAUUUCUUGUUGCUCUGUGUAAAUGAUGUUUUAAGAGCUUUUUGGUAGUCUAAAUUUAUAGUUCCAUCCUUUUCAGCGGUAUCCAAUAUGAUAAUUUGUUUUACUGCUCGAUAUAUAUCUUACUCAUGGUCAUUUUUCAGAGGCUAUCAGAGCAGGGGCUGUCAACACUGGGUUCUAUGCGGAGAUCUCAAAGUUCAUAGAUCUGAGGAAAGAAAUGUAUACUCAUCUACCUGCACUGAUCUAAAGCUUGAUCUGUGAAUAGUUAAGGUGACUCAUGCCUGCCAUAAAAACCAAACUUCAACAUCAAUGUUCUGUCAUAAACCAUUCCCACAUGCAUCCUAGACGAUUUCUUGCAGACCAAAUAUGCAUAUGUCACCAGUCUUCAAUCGUGUAUGCAUACAUGAGCUGCGACAAGCAAUGGAAGAGACCUACAUGGGUGGACUGCUCUCCAUAAACCUGUUUCAAAGGGAAGAUAGAAGUCAUUCGAACACUGCUUGAAAAGGGUGUGGAUAUGAAUGCUAAAGAUGAGGAUGGAUACAUCGCGUUGCAUUGUGCAGCGGAGUCGGGACAUGUGGAUGUGAUUAAGAUAAAGAAAGGAGUUGAUGUUGAAGCUCGAACUAACAAAGGUGUGAUUGCACUGCAGAUUGCUGAGUCUUUGCACUACGUUGGGAUUACUAGGAUACUUAUUCAUAGAGGUGCAACAAAAGACAAUAGUAAUAUGGCACAUAUCUUGACCCAUGCCUCAGUUUCAUUUGGGGAAAAAAAUCUAUGGGACUAGAAGAGGAGAUCAUCAAAGGAGGAAUGAAGAAGAAGAAAUCGAGUCGAGCUAGAGCUCUUCGUGGGAGCUUCGAUCGUUCGAUGCCGUUGGUUGUUGUUUAGCUAGUAAAGCUGGAACUAAUAUUGGGGGUAAAUUACACAGUAACCCCUCAGGUUUUGAGGUCUAUUACAACUCCAUACAACAACUUUAAAACAUUUCACUUUUAUACCUCAAGUACUAUUUUAUUUCAAUAUAAUACAUCCGUUGGAUUUUCCAUUCAUUAAUCUGUUAAAUACUGACGUGG